RNAcentral lists this ribosomal RNA (379 nucleotides) under uncultured bacterium. Its description in RNAcentral is "bacterial SSU rRNA". It matches the Rfam family "Bacterial small subunit ribosomal RNA", at positions 128 to 507 of the family's 1533-position model. The record is from RNAcentral.
GCCCUGCACUUCGGGAUAAGCUUGGGAAACUGGGUCUAAUACCGGAUAGGACUACGGACUGCAUGGUCUGUGGUGGAAAGCUUUUGCGGUGUGGGAUGGGCCCGCGGCCUAUCAGCUUGUUGGUGGGGUGAUGGCCUACCAAGGCGACGACGGGUAGCCGGCCUGAGAGGGUGUCCGGCCACACUGGGACUGAGAUACGGCCCAGACUCCUACGGGAGGCAGCAGUGGGGAAUAUUGCACAAUGGGCGCAAGCCUGAUGCAGCGACGCCGCGUGGGGGAUGACGGCCUUCGGGUUGUAAACCUCUUUCACCAUCGGCGAAGCCCGCAGCUUUUGUUGUGGGUGACGGUAGGUGGAGAAGAAGCACCGGCCAACUACGUG